This 780-nucleotide ribosomal RNA is filed under the name Acinetobacter johnsonii. RNAcentral describes it as "bacterial SSU rRNA". It matches the Rfam family "Bacterial small subunit ribosomal RNA", at positions 56 to 831 of the family's 1533-position model. The record is from RNAcentral. Lineage: Bacteria; Pseudomonadati; Pseudomonadota; Gammaproteobacteria; Moraxellales; Moraxellaceae.
UGCAGUCGAGCGGGGAAGGGUAGCUUGCUACCUGACCUAGCGGCGGACGGGUGAGUAAUGCUUAGGAAUCUGCCUAUUAGUGGGGGACAACAUUCCGAAAGGAAUGCUAAUACCGCAUACGCCCUACGGGGGAAAGCAGGGGAUCUUCGGACCUUGCGCUAAUAGAUGAGCCUAAGUCAGAUUAGCUAGUUGGUGGGGUAAAGGCCUACCAAGGCGACGAUCUGUAGCGGGUCUGAGAGGAUGAUCCGCCACACUGGGACUGAGACACGGCCCAGACUCCUACGGGAGGCAGCAGUGGGGAAUAUUGGACAAUGGGCGCAAGCCUGAUCCAGCCAUGCCGCGUGUGUGAAGAAGGCCUUUUGGUUGUAAAGCACUUUAAGCGAGGAGGAGGCUACUUGGAUUAAUACUCUAGGAUAGUGGACGUUACUCGCAGAAUAAGCACCGGCUAACUCUGUGCCAGCAGCCGCGGUAAUACAGAGGGUGCGAGCGUUAAUCGGAUUUACUGGGCGUAAAGCGUGCGUAGGCGGCUUUUUAAGUCGGAUGUGAAAUCCCUGAGCUUAACUUAGGAAUUGCAUUCGAUACUGGGAAGCUAGAGUAUGGGAGAGGAUGGUAGAAUUCCAGGUGUAGCGGUGAAAUGCGUAGAGAUCUGGAGGAAUACCGAUGGCGAAGGCAGCCAUCUGGCCUAAUACUGACGCUGAGGUACGAAAGCAUGGGGAGCAAACAGGAUUAGAUACCCUGGUAGUCCAUGCCGUAAACGAUGUCUACUAGCCGUUGGGGCCU